AACGAACGCUGGCGGCAGGCUUAACACAUGCAAGUCGAACGCCCCGCCAGGGGAGUGGCAGACGGGUGGGUAACGCGUGGGGACAUACCCUUUUCUACGGAAUAGCUUUGGGUUACUGGAAUUAAUACCGUAUACGCCCUACGGGGGAAAGAUUUAUCGGGGAAGGAUUGGACCGCGUUGGAUUAGCUCGUUGGUGGGGUAAAGGCCUACCAAGGCGACGAUCUAUAGCUGGUGUGAGAGGAUGACCAGACACAUUGAGACUGAGACACGGCCCAAACUCCUACGGGAGGCAGCAGAGGGGAAUAUUGGACAAUGGGCGCAAGCCUGAACCAGCCAUGCCGCGUGAGUGAUGAAGGCCUUAGGGUAGUAAAGCACUUUCACCGAUGAAGAUAAUGACGGUAGUCGAAGAAGAAGCCCCGGCUAACUUCGUG
RNAcentral lists this ribosomal RNA (431 nucleotides) under uncultured bacterium. RNAcentral describes it as "partial 16S ribosomal RNA". It matches the Rfam family "Bacterial small subunit ribosomal RNA", at positions 29 to 507 of the family's 1533-position model. The record is from RNAcentral.